AGUUACGUGGCCGAGCGGAGAGGCGGAGGCUAGCAAACCCUCUUACGGUGGUUCGAUCCCACCCGUAACUG
This is a non-coding RNA of Niastella koreensis GR20-10, 71 nucleotides long. The record is from Rfam. Lineage: Bacteria; Pseudomonadati; Bacteroidota; Chitinophagia; Chitinophagales; Chitinophagaceae.